GGGCAUUUAGCUCAGCGGCAUAAGCGCCUGCCUUGCAAGCAGGCGGUCGUGAGUUCGAUCCCCAGUACCGA
RNAcentral lists this transfer RNA (71 nucleotides) under Cavia porcellus (domestic guinea pig). It matches the Rfam family "tRNA". From Rfam's summary of the family: Transfer RNA (tRNA) molecules are approximately 80 nucleotides in length. Their secondary structure includes four short double-helical elements and three loops (D, anti-codon, and T loops). Further hydrogen bonds mediate the characteristic L-shaped molecular structure. tRNAs have two regions of fundamental functional importance: the anti-codon, which is responsible for specific mRNA codon recognition, and the 3' end, to which the tRNAs corresponding amino acid is attached (by aminoacyl-tRNA synthetases). tRNAs cope with the degeneracy of the genetic code in two manners: having more than one tRNA (with a specific anti-codon) for a particular amino acid; and 'wobble' base-pairing, i.e. permitting non-standard base-pairing at the 3rd anti-codon position. Lineage: Eukaryota; Metazoa; Chordata; Mammalia; Rodentia; Caviidae. The record is from Rfam by way of RNAcentral.